AAGAUUUUAAGUUAAAAAAACUAUUAAUCUUCAAAAUUAAAAAUAAUAUUAAUCAAACAAUAUUAAAUCUU
This 71-nucleotide transfer RNA is filed under the name Dentathalia scutellariae. RNAcentral's name for it is "tRNA-Trp". The record is from RNAcentral. Lineage: Eukaryota; Metazoa; Arthropoda; Insecta; Hymenoptera; Athaliidae.